UACGUAGGGGGCAAGCGUUGUCCGGAAUCAUUGGGCGUAAAGAGCGUGUAGGCGGCUUCGUAAGUCCGUUGUGAAAGUCCAGGGCUCAACCCUGGAAUGCCGAUGGAUACUGCGGAGCUAGAGUACGGAAGAGGCGAGUGGAAUUCCUGGUGUAGCGGUGAAAUGCGCAGAUAUCAGGAGGAACACCUAUGGCGAAGGCAGCUCGCUGGGACGUUACUGACGCUGAGACGCGAAAGCGUGGGGAGCAAACAGGAUUAGAUACCCUGGUAGUCCACGCCGUAAACGAUGGGCACUAGGUGUGGGGGGUGUCGACUCCCUCCGUGCCGAAGCUAACGCAUUAAGUGCCCCGCCUGGGGAGUACGGCCGCAAGGCUAAA
Molecule: ribosomal RNA, 376 nt
Filed under: uncultured bacterium
Lineage: Bacteria
Description: bacterial SSU rRNA
Rfam family: Bacterial small subunit ribosomal RNA
Source: RNAcentral